AAACCAUGUUGUGGGCACAUCUGCAAGUGGUCCUUGAAUCGCUCCCAUGUCUCAAACAAGGAUUCAAGCUCCAUUUGAACAAACAAUGAUGUUUCAUUAAGAAGCUU
Dioscorea cayenensis subsp. rotundata (Guinea yam) is the source of this 107-nucleotide small nucleolar RNA. Lineage: Eukaryota; Viridiplantae; Streptophyta; Magnoliopsida; Dioscoreales; Dioscoreaceae. The record is from RefSeq and is a predicted model, not a curated record.